CGGAUUCAAGUCCUACCGAGGGUACGGGGCGUAAACUGCCAGAUGGUGCCGGUCGCCCGCUCGCGAUUCAUUUCGCCCGCGGUGUCGUCACCGGCGACUACUCGGCUAACCUCGUUUUGCCGGCCCCGGAGGGGUGCACUUCCUCCCUAGUAGAAACGUCGCGACCCGUUGGGUGCCGGCCUCAAGGCCCGGGAAGGCAGACCGACCUGUCCCGCGGGGGUUCCCGCGGGCGGGCGGACUCCCGGUGUCCCGGCCGGCUGCUCGACGGUAUUACCAGAGGAGUCGAUCCGCUGCCUAGGAGCGUCCGGCCCGGCGCCGGCGUGCUGCGGGGAUUUUCGAACGCUGGGUGCCCGUGCUCGCACGGCCCCGACCCUGCCGCGCUGGUCGUCCGGUGUCCUCGGACCGGGUCAGCACUCCCGUCCGCGACGACCACCUUCGGAUGGUCUCCCG
RNAcentral lists this ribosomal RNA (450 nucleotides) under Necroscia pallida. RNAcentral's name for it is "partial large subunit ribosomal RNA". Lineage: Eukaryota; Metazoa; Arthropoda; Insecta; Phasmatodea; Lonchodidae. The record is from RNAcentral.